This 537-nucleotide long non-coding RNA is filed under the name Lathyrus oleraceus (garden pea). RNAcentral describes it as "Pisum sativum (pea) long non-coding RNA (PSAT_LNC022526)". Lineage: Eukaryota; Viridiplantae; Streptophyta; Magnoliopsida; Fabales; Fabaceae. The record is from RNAcentral.
AACUCUUUUGGGACUGCGAAUACUUUGUGAUACAUUUAUUGCUAUAUUCUUUUAUGUCUUUUUUCUAAUGGGUUGUGGAUAUUAUAUGUUAACAGAGUGAAAAUGCUAAUUAUGGAUGCAAUUGUUUUGAGUGGUAUGAAAAAGAAUACAAUGAUGAAGUGCAACCAAAAAUAUAAAGUAGAUGUGUUAAUUGUUCAAAAUAUAAGGAAAAUGAUGUUGAAAUCAACACACCCAAAAGGGCCAUUAAGAAGAUCCAUGAAGAUGACAACUAUACUAAGGAGGUGAUGAAGACCAUAUUGAAGAUGUUUAAGAUGUUCGUUUUUGUCAUAAUAUUCUUAGUUUUGAUUUUUGUAGUGUUAAUGUGUAUUUUGGUCAAGUAGUGGUGACUAUGGUUAAUGUUGAUGUUAGUAUUGUAAGAAAUGUUGUUAAUGUUAUACGGUAAUCAUUUUAUUAAUGUGUUUCUUUCUUCAAUCUGAUGUUUAGAUUAUGACCAAUUUAUGUUACAGUAAGCACUUUUAAAUUAUGUAAUGGUUAGAU